This 465-nucleotide ribosomal RNA is filed under the name uncultured bacterium. RNAcentral describes it as "partial 16S ribosomal RNA". It matches the Rfam family "Bacterial small subunit ribosomal RNA", at positions 28 to 507 of the family's 1533-position model. The record is from RNAcentral.
GACGAACGCUGGCGGCGUGCUUAACACAUGCAAGUCGUACGGUAAGGCCCUUUCGGGGGUACACGAGUGGCGAACGGGUGAGUAACACGUGAGUAACCUGCCCACAACUUUGGGAUAACGCUAGGAAACUGGUGCUAAUACUGGGUAUGUGCUCCUGCUGCAUGGUGGGGGUUGGAAAGCUCCGGCGGUUGUGGAUGGACUCGCGGCCUAUCAGCUUGUUGGUGGGGUAGUGGCCUACCAAGGCGGCGACGGGUAGCCGGCCUGAGAGGGUGACCGGCCACAUUGGGACUGAGAUACGGCCCAGGCUCCUACGGGAGGCAGCAGUGGGGAAUAUUGCACAAUGGGCGCAAGCCUGAUGCAGCAACGCCGCGUGCGGGAUGACGGCCUUCGGGUUGUAAACCGCUUUCAGCAGGGACGAAGCUUUUUGUGACGGUACCUGCAGAAGAAGCACCGGCUAACUACGUG